UACGUAGGGUGCAAGCGUUGUCCGGAAUUAUUGGGCGUAAAGAGCUCGUAGGCGGUUUGUCGCGUCUGCUGUGAAAACUCAGGGCUUAACCCUGAGCCUGCAGUGGGUACGGGCAGACUAGAGUGUGGUAGGGGAGAUCGGAAUUCCUGGUGUAGCGGUGGAAUGCGCAGAUAUCAGGAGGAACACCGGUGGCGAAGGCGGAUCUCUGGGCCACAACUGACGCUGAGGAGCGAAAGCAUGGGGAGCGAACAGG
RNAcentral lists this ribosomal RNA (253 nucleotides) under uncultured bacterium. RNAcentral describes it as "partial 16S ribosomal RNA". It matches the Rfam family "Bacterial small subunit ribosomal RNA", at positions 524 to 776 of the family's 1533-position model. The record is from RNAcentral.